UACGGAGGGUGCAAGCGUUAUCCGGAUUCACUGGGUUUAAAGGGUGCGUAGGCGGAAUGGAAAGUCCGUUGUGAAAUCUCCGAGCUUAACUCGGAAAUUGCGGUGGAUACUAUCAUUCUUGAAUACUGUGGAGGUUAGCGGAAUAUGUCAUGUAGCGGUGAAAUGCAUAGAUAUGACAUAGAACACCAAUUGCGAAGGCAGCUGGCUACACAAAUAUUGACACUGAGGCACGAAAGCGUGGGGAUCAAACAGG
Molecule: ribosomal RNA, 253 nt
Filed under: uncultured bacterium
Lineage: Bacteria
Description: partial 16S ribosomal RNA
Rfam family: Bacterial small subunit ribosomal RNA
Source: RNAcentral